This 255-nucleotide ribosomal RNA is filed under the name uncultured bacterium. RNAcentral's name for it is "partial 16S ribosomal RNA". It matches the Rfam family "Bacterial small subunit ribosomal RNA", at positions 524 to 776 of the family's 1533-position model. The record is from RNAcentral.
CACGGUAGGGGGCAAGCGUUGUCCGGAUUUAUUGGGCGUAAAGAGCUCGUAGGCGGUUCGGUAAGUCGGGUGUGAAACCUCCAGGCUCAACCUGGAGAGGCCACCUGAUACUGCUGUGACUCGAGUCCGGUAGGGGAGCGUGGAAUUCCUGGUGUAGCGGUGAAAUGCGCAGAUAUCAGGAGGAACACCAGCGGCGAAGGCGGCGCUCUGGGCCGGAACUGACGCUGAGGAGCGAAAGCGUGGGUAGCAAACAGG